This 380-nucleotide ribosomal RNA is filed under the name uncultured soil bacterium. Its description in RNAcentral is "bacterial SSU rRNA". It matches the Rfam family "Bacterial small subunit ribosomal RNA", at positions 26 to 417 of the family's 1533-position model. The record is from RNAcentral.
AGAUUGAACGCUGGCGGCAUGCCUAACACAUGCAAGUCGAACGGGAGUAGCAAUACUCUAGUGGCGGACGGGUGAGGAAUACGUAGGAAUUUGCCCUUAAGUGGGGGAUAACCCGGGGAAACCCGGAUUAAUACCGCAUGACCUCGAAAGAGCAAAGUGGGGGAUCGCAAGACCUCACGCUUUUGGAGAAGCCUACGUCGGAUUAGCUAGUUGGUGAGGUAAUGGCUCACCAAGGCGACGAUCCGUAACUGGUCUGAGAGGAUGAUCAGUCACACCGGAACUGAGACACGGUCCGGACUCCUACGGGAGGCAGCAGUGGGGAAUAUUGGACAAUGGGCGCAAGCCUGAUCCAGCAAAUGCCGCGUGUGUGAAGAAGGCCU